GCCCAGACUCCUACGGGAGGCAGCAGUGGGGAAUAUUGGGCAAUGGGCGAAAGCCUGACCCAGCAACGCCGCGUGAAGGAAGAAGGCUUUCGGGUUGUAAACUUCUUUUGACAGGGAAGAGCAGAAGACGGUACCUGUCGAAUAAGCCACGGCUAACUACGUGCCAGCAGCCGCGGUAAUACGUAGGUGGCAAGCGUUGUCCGGAUUUACUGGGUGUAAAGGGAGCGUAGACGGCGACGCAAGUCUGGAGUGAAAGCCCGGGGCCCAACCCCGGGACUGCUCUGGAAACUGCGUCGCUGGAGUACGGGAGGGGCAGGCGGAAUUCCUGGUGUAGCGGUGAAAUGCGUAGAUAUCAGGAGGAACACCGGCGGCGAAGGCGGCCUGCUGGACCGUGACUGACGUUGAGGCUCGAGAGCGUGGGGAGCAAACAGGAUUAGAUACCCGGGUAC
Molecule: ribosomal RNA, 449 nt
Filed under: uncultured bacterium
Lineage: Bacteria
Description: bacterial SSU rRNA
Rfam family: Bacterial small subunit ribosomal RNA
Source: RNAcentral